AUUGAACGCUGGCGGCAUGCUUUACACAUGCAAGUCGAACGGUAACAGGCCGCAAGGUGCUGACGAGUGGCGAACGGGUGAGUAAUGCAUCGGAACGUGCCCAGUCGUGGGGGAUAACUACUCGAAAGAGUAGCUAAUACCGCAUACGAUCUAUGGAUGAAAGCGGGGGACCGAAAGGCCUCGCGCGAUUGGAGCGGCCGAUGUCAGAUUAGGUAGUUGGUGGGGUAAAGGCUCACCAAGCCAACGAUCUGUAGCUGGUCUGAGAGGACGACCAGCCACACUGGGACUGAGACACGGCCCAGACUCCUACGGGAGGCAGCAGUGGGGAAUUUUGGACAAAGGGCGCAAGCCUGAUCCAGCAAUGCCGCGUGCAGGAAGAAGGCCUUCGGGUUGUAAACUGCUUUUGUACGGAACGAAACGGCUCUGGUUAAUACCCGGGGCUAAUGACGGUACCGUAAGAAUAAGCACCGGCUAACUACGUG
Molecule: ribosomal RNA, 482 nt
Filed under: uncultured bacterium
Lineage: Bacteria
Description: partial 16S ribosomal RNA
Rfam family: Bacterial small subunit ribosomal RNA
Source: RNAcentral